CCGGGGGCGGUCCCGGCGCCUCCCCAAAAUAUAAUAAACAAAAAUUAUAUUUUGAGGGGGCGAAUAGGAUCGACAAGAGCUAAAGAUCGCUCUUUACUCGGUAUAGUACCACCGUUAUCGGACUAAACAGUAGUUGCAAAUGACAACUAUGCGGAAGCACGUCUCGCCGCUUGAGUCGGCGUGAAUGCUUCAAAUUAAGUCUUAAACCGUCGCAGGUUUAAGCGGGGUUCGAAGGCACCUGGAAACAGAAGCCAA
This 255-nucleotide transfer-messenger RNA is filed under the name Bartonella alsatica. RNAcentral describes it as "partial ssrA". It matches the Rfam family "Alphaproteobacteria transfer-messenger RNA", at positions 92 to 350 of the family's 355-position model. Rfam says of the family: Bacterial tmRNA, also known as 10Sa RNA or SsrA, is named for its dual tRNA and mRNA-like properties. Its role is to liberate the mRNA from a stalled ribosome. To accomplish this part of the tmRNA is used as a reading frame that ends in a translation stop signal. Lineage: Bacteria; Pseudomonadati; Pseudomonadota; Alphaproteobacteria; Hyphomicrobiales; Bartonellaceae. The record is from RNAcentral.